This 505-nucleotide ribosomal RNA is filed under the name uncultured bacterium. RNAcentral's name for it is "partial 16S ribosomal RNA". It matches the Rfam family "Bacterial small subunit ribosomal RNA", at positions 28 to 507 of the family's 1533-position model. The record is from RNAcentral.
GACGAACGCUGGCGGCGUGCCUAAUACAUGCAAGUAGAACGCACAGUUUAUACCGUAGCUUGCUACACCAUAGACUGUGAGUUGCGAACGGGUGAGUAACGCGUAGGUAACCUGCCUGGUAGCGGGGGAUAACUAUUGGAAACGAUAGCUAAUACCGCAUAAUAUUAAUUAUUGCAUGAUAAUUAAUUGAAAGGUGCAAUUGCACCACUACCAGAUGGACCUGCGUUGUAUUAGCGAGUAGGUGAGGUAACGGCUCACCUAGGCGACGAUACAUAGCCGACCUGGGAGGGUGAUCGGCCACCCUGGGACUGAGACACGGCCCAGACUCCUACGGGAGGCAGCAGUAGGGAAUCUUCGGCAAUGGACGAAAGUCUGACCGAGCAACGCCGCGUGAGUGAAGAAGGUUUUCGGAUCGUAAAGCUCUGUUGUAAGAGAAGAACGGGUGUGAGAGUGGAAAGUUCACACUGUGACGGUAUCUUACCAGAAAGGGACGGCUAACUACGUG